GACGAACGCUGGCGGCGUGCUUAACACAUGCAAGUCGAACGGAAAGGCCCUGCUUUUGUGGGGUGCUCGAGUGGCGAACGGGUGAGUAACACGUGAGUAACCUGCCCUUGACUUUGGGGUAACUUCAGGAAACUGGGGCUAAUACCGGAUAGGAGCUCCUGCUGCAUGGUGGGGGUUGGAAAGUUUCGGCGGUUGGGGAUGGACUCGCGGCUUAUCAGCUUGUUGGUGGGGUAGUGGCUUACCAAGGCUUUGACGGGUAGCCGGCCUGAGAGGGUGACCGGCCACAUUGGGACUGAGAUACGGCCCAGACUCCUACGGGAGGCAGCAGUGGGGAAUAUUGCACAAUGGGCGGAAGCCUGAUGCAGCAACGCCGCGUGCGGGAUGACGGCCUUCGGGUUGUAAACCGCUUUCGCCUGUGACGAAGCGUGGGUGACGGUAAUGGGUAAAGAAGCACCGGCUAACUACGUG
This 468-nucleotide ribosomal RNA is filed under the name uncultured bacterium. Its description in RNAcentral is "partial 16S ribosomal RNA". It matches the Rfam family "Bacterial small subunit ribosomal RNA", at positions 28 to 507 of the family's 1533-position model. The record is from RNAcentral.